Small nucleolar RNA from Quercus robur (English oak), 91 nucleotides. RefSeq annotates it as small nucleolar RNA snR60/Z15/Z230/Z193/J17. NCBI's taxonomy places the organism in Eukaryota, Viridiplantae, Streptophyta, Magnoliopsida, Fagales, Fagaceae. The transcript has a single exon. The record is from RefSeq and is a predicted model, not a curated record.
AUGGGUCAUGUGAUGAUUUAAUACGCAUAGUUCAGAUGAUAAUCUGUGAUUAACACUUUGCAUAGUCUUUCGCUCCUAUCUGAUGACCCGU